AAUGGGUCAGCGACUUAUAUUCUGUAGCAAGGUUAACCGAAUAGGGGAGCCGAAGGGAAACCGAGUCUUAACUGGGCGUUAAGUUGCAGGGUAUAGACCCGAAACCCGGUGAUCUAGCCAUGGGCAGGUUGAAGGUUGGGUAACACUAACUGGAGGACCGAACCGACUAAUGUUGAAAAAUUAGCGGAUGACUUGUGGCUGGGGGUGAAAGGCCAAUCAAACCGGGAGAUAGCUGGUUCUCCCCGAAAGCUAUUUAGGUAGCGCCUCGUGAAUUCAUCUCCGGGGGUAGAGCACUGUUUCGGCAAGGGGGUCAUCCCGA
This 319-nucleotide ribosomal RNA is filed under the name Escherichia coli. Its description in RNAcentral is "bacterial LSU rRNA". It matches the Rfam family "Bacterial large subunit ribosomal RNA", at positions 614 to 934 of the family's 2925-position model. Lineage: Bacteria; Pseudomonadati; Pseudomonadota; Gammaproteobacteria; Enterobacterales; Enterobacteriaceae. The record is from RNAcentral. RNAcentral also lists the same sequence under 2 other names.